CUUGAAAACGAAAAUUUGAACUGCUGCCAAAAGCAGGUGAAAAUGUUCCACAUAAUCUUUUCGAAUUUUCUACAAAAAAGGGCUCACUUUGCAAUACCAAUUUCUGUGACUGUUUUUGGACAUAAAUUACUGUGGGAAGAUUUUUCAGUAUAA
This is a long non-coding RNA of Drosophila hydei, 153 nucleotides long. RefSeq lists it as uncharacterized. The record is from RefSeq and is a predicted model, not a curated record. The transcript is spliced from 2 exons. NCBI's taxonomy places the organism in Eukaryota, Metazoa, Arthropoda, Insecta, Diptera, Drosophilidae.